GGGGGGGGUGACUGGCUAUGGUGGUAAACAACAGCACAAGAAGGGCAUUCAGUGCUGCUCACUUUAAUGAUGCAAACUUCAUCUGCAUACUGCAGUUCUUCUGACCCAAAGUGCAAUUUAGGCCAGUUUAGGGCAGCUGUGGCCUAAUGGUUAGAGAAUUGGACUUGUAACCAGAAGGUCACAGGUUCAAGUAUCAGUGCUGGCAGGAGUUGUAGGUGGGUGGGGAGUGAAUGAACAGCGCACUCUUCUACCCUCAAUACCUAUGGCUGAAGUGACCUUGAGCAAGGCACUGAACCCUCAGUUGCUCCCCGGGCGCUGGAUAUAGCUGCCCACUGCUCCGGGUGUGUGUUCACGGUGUGUUCACUUCUCACUGUUGUGUGUGUGCACUUGGAUGGGUUAAAUGCAGAGCACCAAUUCCGAGUAUGGGUUACCAUACUUGGCAAAGUGGAUUAUUUUCACUUUCACCUUCAAUGUGAAAAGAGACCAGCGGGUGCAGAGGAUAGUGGUGGAAUUAAGCUCAAGUUCAGAACAAAUAAUCGAAAACAGCCUAAUAGUCACCAAAAUGUGUAACGGACUGCACUGGCUGCCUGAUCUCAACAGAUCGAUAGAAAUGAAAUGCAUUGACUCGAGUGGUGGAUACAAACUCAAAUAUGCUUAUUGGCCAGGCCAUAUGCUGAAGCACGCGGUUUGAAAACCUGCCAUGCUGGUGUUGGAAUCGCAUUAUUUUCAUCUUCUCCUCCUAUUUUGCUGCUGUCACCGGCAUAGGGGUCAUGCCCAUCACAUCACACGCCGUCUGUGGAAUAUAGUCUAGUGCUCUGUGAAGAGGUGUGCCAAUGCAUGUCACAUCAGAUUGUGCGUGUAUCAUAUUCACAACAGCAAAGCUAAACUUACUGGAUCUGACAGCGCAGACAUUCGCGGAUGUGUCAAACAAUGCAUCUUCUACUUUGCUGGUUUGCGCUUUGACAAUUUCUUCCUCCUUGACAUUUCUCUAACCCCCUACUGUUCCUGAUGUGAACAAACACAUUGCCAAUCUAAUAUGGGGAAGUGUGAAAGAGAGAUUGUGACACAAAUAAUAUAUUAUUAUUAUUUGUAUCGAUAUUCACAUGUGUGGUAGAACAACUUUUUAUGUCGUUGGUUUUUGAUCAGUCAUUCGUCAUAGUUCGGUGCAGUAUUUUUCAUUCGGAGUGAAACAUAUCGCACUGCCAGAAGCUCAGACACCUUCAGGCUUCUGUUGACUGACCUUCUGCCAAAAACAGCACCCUGUCCCACAAGGCCUGGCGUGACAAAUCGAGAGCCCCUCAGGACUGCUAAACUACUUUCUCAGGAGUGACACUUUAGGUGACUGGACUCAAAAAGAACCAAAAAGCUGAAAUGAUAAACACACAAAAACAUUUCGCAGCUGAAACACAGGGUUCAGUGUUGUAACCACAUUUGGGUGAAAGUUUUUAUUUUCAUGUUCAUGCUCAUAUGUAAAGAUGCAGUUCAUGACUAGAUUGUGUGACAUACUGGAGGUCAUAAAUUAUGUUUUUGUCAUACAGUACAUAUGUAAACUAUGGUAGAAUGUUUGAUAGUACAACUUGGUCUCGUAUCAUGCUAGGAUGCAAUGCCCAUUGUUCAUGAUCCAGUGAGUUCCCAAUGGAUAAAAUCAAGUCACAAUCAUUGUUGUUAUCAUUUAUUAAUAAUAAUGUUGAAAUGUUGAAUUGAAUUGAAUUGAAUUGAAUUGAAUUGAAUUAAAUGGCUCCCUUAUAAAAAUGAUUGUUUGUUUUAUUCCUGAAUAAAUCAGUGUGCUUGAAUAAACCA
Cyprinus carpio (common carp) is the source of this 1800-nucleotide long non-coding RNA. Lineage: Eukaryota; Metazoa; Chordata; Actinopteri; Cypriniformes; Cyprinidae. The record is from Ensembl.